RNAcentral lists this long non-coding RNA (209 nucleotides) under Carica papaya (papaya). Its description in RNAcentral is "long non-coding RNA (CPAP_LNC006263)". Lineage: Eukaryota; Viridiplantae; Streptophyta; Magnoliopsida; Brassicales; Caricaceae. The record is from RNAcentral.
UCUUAUCCGAGGACGAAUCACUUUUAAAGAGGGAGGGGAUAAUGUGAGCAAGAAGAGGAAAAAUAAUUUCUUUAAAGGGAGAAUCAAGCAAGAGGGAAUACUUCUUCAUAAAUCAUGUGAUAUCUUAAAGGAAAAGAAAAUCAAAUCUCAUUCCUUAAAGACUAAAUCCAACGGUUUAGGAAAGAUAUAGGUAGCCUAUUUGCUCUUUU